UGGGGGAUCGUCUAACGGCAGGACAUCAGACUCUGGAUCUGACUAUCAAGGUUCGAAUCCUUGUCCCCCAG
RNAcentral lists this transfer RNA (71 nucleotides) under Deltaproteobacteria bacterium. RNAcentral's name for it is "tRNA-Gln". It matches the Rfam family "tRNA". Rfam says of the family: Transfer RNA (tRNA) molecules are approximately 80 nucleotides in length. Their secondary structure includes four short double-helical elements and three loops (D, anti-codon, and T loops). Further hydrogen bonds mediate the characteristic L-shaped molecular structure. tRNAs have two regions of fundamental functional importance: the anti-codon, which is responsible for specific mRNA codon recognition, and the 3' end, to which the tRNAs corresponding amino acid is attached (by aminoacyl-tRNA synthetases). tRNAs cope with the degeneracy of the genetic code in two manners: having more than one tRNA (with a specific anti-codon) for a particular amino acid; and 'wobble' base-pairing, i.e. permitting non-standard base-pairing at the 3rd anti-codon position. RNAcentral also lists the same sequence under 1 other name. The record is from RNAcentral. Lineage: Bacteria; Pseudomonadati; Myxococcota; Myxococcia.